GAUGAACGCUGGCGGCGUGCCUAAUACAUGCAAGUCGAGCGAACAGAUGAGGAGCUUGCUCCUCUGACGUUAGCGGCGGACGGGUGAGUAACACGUGGAUAACCUACCUAUAAGACUGGGAUAACUUCGGGAAACCGGAGCUAAUACCGGAUAAUAUAUUGAACCGCAUGGUUCAAUAGUGAAAGACGGUUUUGCUGUCACUUAUAGAUGGAUCCGCGCCGCAUUAGCUAGUUGGUAAGGUAACGGCUUACCAAGGCAACGAUGCGUAGCCGACCUGAGAGGGUGAUCGGCCACACUGGAACUGAACCACGGUCCAGACUCCUACGGGAGGCAGCAGUAGGGAAUCUUCCGCAAUGGGCGAAAGCCUGACGGAGCAACGCCGCGUGAGUGAUGAAGGUCUUCGGAUCGUAAAACUCUGUUAUUAGGGAAGAACAAAUGUGUAAGUAACUAUGCACGUCUUGACGGUACCUAAUCAGAAAGCCACGGCUAACUACGUG
RNAcentral lists this ribosomal RNA (497 nucleotides) under uncultured bacterium. Its description in RNAcentral is "partial 16S ribosomal RNA". It matches the Rfam family "Bacterial small subunit ribosomal RNA", at positions 28 to 507 of the family's 1533-position model. The record is from RNAcentral.